This 468-nucleotide ribosomal RNA is filed under the name uncultured bacterium. RNAcentral describes it as "partial 16S ribosomal RNA". It matches the Rfam family "Bacterial small subunit ribosomal RNA", at positions 28 to 507 of the family's 1533-position model. The record is from RNAcentral.
GACGAACGCUGGCGGCGUGCUUAACACAUGCAAGUCGAACGGAAAGACCCUGCUUCUGUGGGGUGCUCGCGUGGCGAACGGAUGGGUAACAAAUGAGUAACCUACCCAUGCCUUUGGGAUAACUACCGAAAAGUGAGGAUAACACCUACUGGGUGCUCCUGCUAGUUGCAGGGGUUGGGAAGGUAUCGGCGCUUGGGGUUGGACUGGAGGCUGAUCAGCUGGUGGGUGGGGUAGUGGCUGACCAAGCGUCUGACGGGUGGCCGGCCUGAGAGGGGGCCCGGCCACAUUGGGACUGAGAUACGGCGCAGAAGCCUACGUGAGGCAGCAGUGGGGAAUAUUGCAGAAUGGGCGGGAGUGUGAUGCAGCAACGCCGCGUGCGGGAUGAAGGCCUUCGGGUUGUAAACCGCUUUCGCCUGUGACGAAGCGUGAGUGACGGUAAUGGGUAAAGAAGCACCGGCUAACUACGUG